Non-coding RNA from Notechis scutatus (mainland tiger snake), 1212 nucleotides. NCBI's taxonomy places the organism in Eukaryota, Metazoa, Chordata, Lepidosauria, Squamata, Elapidae. The record is from RefSeq and is a predicted model, not a curated record.
GAUGCCUUCGUGUCGCGGGGGGAUGACGUAGCGGCCCCGCCGUUGCCUGGUGAUGGGGUCCGAGCAGAGCGCCGAGGCUGAGGGCCGCCCUCACGACCCUGCGACAGCAUCUCCUUCACCAGCCAAGCAACGAGCUAAAAUGGAUGAUAUUGUGGUGGUGACCCAAGGGACUCAGGCAUCACGGAAUGUCAGCAGUGACCCAGAUGUCAUAAAACUACAAGAAAUCCCCACUUUCCAACCUCUGUUGAAAGGACUUCUUAGUGGGCAGAUGUCUCCUACCAACAUUAAACUAGAAAAACUUGAUUCUCAGCAAGUACUACAGCUGUGUCUCCGGUACCAGGACCACCUCCACCAGUGUGCAGAAGCUGUGGCCUUUGACCAGAAUGCUUUAGUCAAGCGGAUCAAAGAGAUGGAUCUUUCAGUAGAAACGCUGUACACUUUAAUGCAAGAGCGCCAGAAAAGGUACGCCAAGUACGCCGAGCAGAUCCAGAAAGUCAACGAGAUGUCCGCCAUUCUCCGCCGCGUCCAGAUGGGCAUUGACCUAACUGUCCCACUGAUGGAGAGGCUGAACAGCCUGCUGCCCGAGAACGAGCGGCUGGAACCCUUUUGUAUGAAACCGGACAGGGAGCUCAAGUUAUAGCUUCCGUCCAGCCCUCUCUUCUCAGGCUUGACUGCAGGACCUUGCUUGAAGCUUCAGGCUCAGGGCACAGCUGGAGGAAGACUAGCUGUCUUCUGUCAUUCCUGACUUCUUUCCAACAAUGAUGUCGGCGAGAACCGGCCUGAAGCCCCCACAGGAUUCUUGGCCAAUGUCCAGGAUUUCAUCAUUUGGUUGGUUGUUGCAAAAAGGGUGACUUCAGCACAGAAUGGUUGAAAAGCAGUGAUUUAAUCACUAAAGAGAGCCAGGCUGGGAAGCCAGCUGCCCACCAACCAAAAUCCAUGCCAGGCAUCCUACAAAUGACCAUCUUUGGCACCUGAUUUGGCACCCUUUAAGCAUAAUGCUGCCAUCAUAUUUAUCUCUCUUUAAGCAAAAGAAAAAAACAAACUCAAAAUGCCCCGUUAGAACCUGCGCUAUUGAUCUGAAUCCGUCCCCAAACUGGAAAUCCAGUGAGGGACAGGGCCUCAAAAACAUUGCCCUGAAGAUGUCCUGUAAGUAUAGAAUUUGUUCCAAAUAAAUAACCUUUGACUUUAUGUUCUGGAAUGUGUUGAAACAGC